Callithrix jacchus (white-tufted-ear marmoset) is the source of this 129-nucleotide small nucleolar RNA. Its record names the gene SNORA70. It matches the Rfam family "Small nucleolar RNA SNORA70". Rfam says of the family: snoRNA U70 seems to be exclusive to mammals and is a member of the H/ACA class of snoRNA which contain H (ANANNA) and ACA box motifs. H/ACA box snoRNAs are involved in the conversion of uridines to pseudouridines (5-ribosyluracil) a constituent of structural RNAs (transfer, ribosomal, small nuclear, and small nucleolar). Lineage: Eukaryota; Metazoa; Chordata; Mammalia; Primates; Cebidae. The record is from Ensembl.
CUGCAGUCAAUUAAACCAGCUGUACUCUUUUUCUCAUAAGGCCUUGGUGUGAUGGCUGCAAACAGCCUCCUUUGUCAUAUACACAGCUGUUUCUUGUAUGGGUUGCUCUAAAGAACUUUGGAGACAGCC